GGGCGGUCGGGCCGAAACACUUACCCGGUCUCUCUCCCCCGUUCAACCUGUGGCCGUUCCCCACGAGGCCACGACCCACUCCUCUGCCACGAACUCACCUUCUCCCUCCCCCUGCGCACACCUUCCUCCACGGCCGGCCAGAUCUGCUGCAUUCACCUCCAUUGACCCGGCCCUCGCGUUGGCCCGUCUCCAUCGAGCCAAAUCCUACGCCGGAGCUCCUCCUUCCUCGGCCUUCUUCUCCGCCAAACCGGCAGCGAAGCACCCCGCCAGAGCAGACGCGUUCCCCAGCCCCGGACCGGCGGCGACGCGACCCCGCACCCUGCUUCUCCCUCUCGGCAUCAUCCUGCACCCUGCAGCGUCGAUCCCUCGCCAGGUCUUGACAUCCCGUGACUGGGAGUUCGAUUCCUGUUGGAUCCAGGCCCUUCGCGUCCAACAACGACAACAAAAGAAGGCAGCAGCUGCUCCCGCAGAUUCCAACCGGAGACGGCCCCCUCUGCUCACGCGCCCCUCGGAGAUCCCCUACAGUUCAACUCCCUGGCCGCGAAGUACAGGGAGGAUUCUCUCGAAGCCUUGCCUCAAACUCUCCGUCCAAAGCCAUGACUGCAGGGGUCAUGUGGACGACGGCGAGAAGCACGGCGAGGUGGAUGCGGCGUAGUACCUCACUAGAUUCCCCUCCUGCUCUUCGUCCACAGGAUCAAUUCACCGAAGCAACAUCAGCAACAAUACGUGCAAGCAAACAAGCAAGCAGGCAAGCUGGUUGAUUGAUGAACAGUAGCUGCAGCCUCUUCAGAGGUAACCUUCGAUCAAGCCAUCGAUUCGAUCUGAACAUAACUAGCUCUCGACGGACGGAAUUCACGUGAGCUUGUGAAAGAAAACCGUUUCACGUGCUGGAGUAUACGAGCUAGCACUCUAAAACCCAACAUAAACAUUUUUGUUGAUUAUGGUAUCCAUAUCAGCCUAACUAUUUGCUUGCCUAAUGAUUUUGUUAGUUGGUUGCCUUUGCCUAAUAUGUCUAUCUGCCUAGUUAAACAUUUCUAUUAAAUAUGGUAUCCAUACAGCUGGACUGAAACUUGUAUAGGAACACAUUAGUUCAAUAAUGAAAAAGGCCUGCUUGGAUGGUUUAUACAAUUACAACUCCGUCAGUUCUAAACUUCUAAUACUACAAGAUAUGUGUACAAGUAGAAGCACAUCAGUGCUUGCUGAAUAAUGCCGCCAAAAUCACAUUGAUUUUACAAAGGAUUAGCACAUAGCAUUACUGUUAUGCUAUUUUUAGUACACAUAAAAGUAAACUCUCUUAGGGGAAAGCAACACUGCAUCUGAAUGAAAGAUUCUCUGUCUUUCAGUGGUCAUUGAUGCCGCACACAAGAUGUAGUUAACAACAGGAUAUUGCUUUGAUAUGUGCACUGACAGUUCCAUCUGUUUGAUCAAUUCAUCGAUUCUCCUCCCCCAGUUGGAGCUGCUUACAAUUCCCCUGUUGGCACUUCUGUUAGCCAUUAGUAUAUCAUUAAGCAAAUAAAAGUAAGAGGCUGCGGACUGUACUUUAGACCAAUAAAGUUAGCAGCAAAAGACAUGCUUUCUUUUAGUCAAUCUAUAACCUUUUUGGCAUUGAGUUCUAGUAAAAAAAGCAUGCUUUCUUCUAGUCAAUGAUUUCUACACUAACUUGCCUAAUAAUGACAGAAAGUUGCCUAUAAUAUUUUUUUGGCAUAUGAUUUACGGCAACUAGCAAGCGGAGGGGAUGAGAGAGGUGUCGGAGUACCAGCGACCAGCAAGAGAAACAAGAGGAAGAGCCAAGGAGACAGCGCCAUCUGUGCGCCACGACCAUCUAGCGGGUGGAGCUAGAUCCGGGAAAGCAUUGUCUCGAGUGGUCGAGGAACUGGUCCGUAAAUUACCGGUUUGAUGGCUGGUGAGGACCGUGAAGCCAUGGAACGGGGAGCCAAGAUGCUCAGGACUAAUGCUUCGACGAUGAUGCGAAUCUGUGCAGCUCUAGCAGAAGCAGCUGUGGAGUGAGGGCGCUUUGACAGGGUUGUGGUGUGGGGGUGCUUCUCUCCCUCCCGGAUGGUUUUGGUGUUAUAUUACUGCUGGUCUUUGCUCCUGCGUGAGCGUCUAUCUGCUCAAUAUGUGAGCCUUUUGGGGUCGUUAGCUGUUGUUGGCUUCCUUUAUGUAGGGUCAAAACUGUUUUAGUUUGAUAGGUGUAGCCUGAUCUUUGGUGUCACUGGAUUUUCGUCCCACAGUGGGCUGCUCGAUGACGAGUGUUCGCGAUGGGUUUUCCAGUGGUGCUUUGAACUCACUCUCCCCUUUCUAGCCUCCUUAAGUCAGUCGGUAUCCUGGGUGGUUUUGGUGACACUGAACUUUGUAUAUUUCCGUUAUGAUAAGUAGUGGAAAGGGGUUGCGUCCGG
Molecule: ribosomal RNA, 2396 nt
Filed under: Triticum aestivum (bread wheat)
Lineage: Eukaryota; Viridiplantae; Streptophyta; Magnoliopsida; Poales; Poaceae
Description: partial small subunit ribosomal RNA
Source: RNAcentral